Non-coding RNA from Punica granatum (pomegranate), 4065 nucleotides. NCBI's taxonomy places the organism in Eukaryota, Viridiplantae, Streptophyta, Magnoliopsida, Myrtales, Lythraceae. The record is from RefSeq and is a predicted model, not a curated record.
GAGGGUGAAGAGAGAGGGAGGGGAAGAGAGAGAGAGAGAGAGAGAGAGAGAGAGAGAGAGAGAGAGAGCUCAUCUGCCCUAAUUUGUUCCUCCUGGAGUGUCAUCAUCUGCCCUAAUCUGGACAAGGUCGAGGGGGGGAGCAGCAGCUGCAGCUCGUGAGAAGCCUCAAUCAGACCCCCGGGGGAAGGAUCCGACAGCCGAUAGGCCAUUAUGGGAGCAGACGGUCUGUGAAGACGCAGCCUUCCCUGAGCCAUGUGAUCCUUCGGAGCUCUCUCCAUCGCCCCACCUAUCGGAGUCGACGAACGUCCGCUUUCUGGUCUCUAAUCACAGUCUGGUGGAGAAAUUUGAGCGCGUUCCUGAAGCUUGGUGUACGUUCUGGUCAUGCAUGCUGGUGCUUUGGAGGAAUGUCGGAGAGCAAAGGCUUCUAAAUGAAUCUGAUUAUGACCUCUAGCAGAAUAUGGUACUGUCUCCAGCAGCCAAAAAGUUCGCCAGGCCUUCUAUGAGUCAGGAAGUUCAUAUGAGAGCGGACUCAGUAAACGAACAUUCUUUAAAGAAGGACAAUGACUGCCUUGGCACCAUCGAUGACCGCAAAGAGGAUGCUACCAGUGUAAACAGUAGUAAGAGCAAUGGCAGUCCCAAGCAGAGGAAUCUCCCCAAAGAUCCAACUUCAGAUGGUGGUUUACAUCCAGAAGGAAAUGGAAAGGCAAAUCGAGGUGCAGAAGUUAACAAAAAUAGCACGAAUCCCGCACGUGAAACAUCUAACUCUUCUAAUGAAGAUGAGAAAGAAGAGAAGUCUGUUGACAGACCUGACUUGCAAGACUCGCCUAUCAAAUCUGUUCCUUGCAAUGAUAGCGAGGACUCCAAUGCCAUGGAGCAGGAUGUAAAAGUAUGUGACAUUUGUGGGGACGCAGGUCGGGAAGAUUUACUUGCAAUAUGUUGUAGGUGCACUGAUGGCGCUGAGCACACCUAUUGCAUGCGAGAAAUGCUACAGAAAGUCCCAGAGGGUGACUGGCUUUGUGAAGAAUGUAAACUUGCUGAGGAAAGUACAGCCCAGAAGUCAGAUCUUGAUUUUGAGGAAAAGAGUUCUACUAAAGCUAUGCAAGUUUUGGGCAAAAGACCUGCGGAAGAUAUUGGAGUUGCACGUGCAGUGAAAAAGCAGGCAUUGGAGGUGAAUGCUAGAUCUCCAAGGAUGGUUAAUCUCAACGGAACAGCUGCAUCUUCUCGGAAUUCUUCCUUUAAAAACAUGGACAAAGGAAAAGGAAGAGCAUCCCAUGACAAUUCUGAGAUGCCCCUCUCCCCCACCGCUCCAAGAAAUCAAGCCUCCAAAAAUGCUUUGUUGAAGUCCAAGUCAUUUAGUGCUUUGACUGCAAAAUCAAAAGUUAAACAAGAAGAAGGUUUCCCGCAGAAGCCGAGGGGAGCACGUUCCAAUUCUUUAUUGGACACCAAAAUAGGUCCCUUGAGAACAUUGGGAAAAUCUGCGUCAUUUAAACAUGUAAAUCAAGGAAGGGCAGAUUCCCCUGAUUCUAAAGUUAAAAUAUAUCCGGCCAAGUUUUCUAAUGUACAGGAAUUAAAAGGAGCAUCUAAACACCGGGAUGAGCAAAAUCCAGCUGAUAGGAGUAGGUUACCCAGAGUAGACCAAGAUCGCCCUAGUACAACUAGAAACAGUCCUGUGUUAUACGCCCCUAAGUUGGACCAGAAACCGUCAUCUCGAUCUGAUACUCAUUCACUUUCAUCUGCAAGCGACAGCCGAGAUUCCAAUAUUAUACAAUCUGAUGGCAAACCAGGCUCUUCACUUUCGAAAUCAGCCAGUUAUGUUGCCCGUCGAGGCACAGAUGGUACUGUUGGUUCAGGUGCGAGUGGAUCUUCUUCUAGUGAUGGUGGAUGCAAUACCUCCAUCAAGAAAAGGUCAAAUCACAUCGGUCCAAAGGGUGGGAACCUUUCAGGUUUACCUUCGUCAUCAGAGAAACUGUGUAGUAGUGGUACUGGUAAUAUACAAGAUGUGUUAACUCGUGCUCGGGAAUCCAGAAACCAUGUGGAAAAAACCCAAGAAAGUUCUGCUAGUCGCUUUGGGAAGGCUGUUACGUCUGGUUCAAGGACUCUUCCCUGUGAAAAAUGUGAUGAAUUUGGUCAUACUGCUGAGGUUUGCUUGCAUGGUAGCUCUCAAGCCUGUGACAUCGAUGUUACUGCCACAAAAUUUGUUAGAGGGGAUAUGACUUAUGGAAGCAAGUCUACUGUUCCAGUAACAUCAGCUAUGCUUAAAAAGCCUGGUAUAUACAGAAGGAACAAAGCACUGGAUAGGUCUGAUAAUUUAUCAGUACCCAAUGCUCCAGCUACUCAAGAACAACCAACAUUUCCAGAUCUCUCAAAGAAAUCUGAAAAUGUCCCACAGUUGAAUGGCGUAAAUGAAGCUAUACAUUCUCUCAAAGCAGGGGCCUUAGAAUCCAAAGCCAAGCCUGUGCUUAGAGAAUUGCCUGCUCUUUGGAACGCUUCCAUCAUUCCAGAGCAUGAUUGCAUCUGGCAAGGCGGAUUUCAGGUAUAUAGAGGCAGUAAACUGAUCGACUUGCAUGGGGGAUUUCAAGCACACUUAUCUACGUGUGUAUCACCAAAGGUUCUUGAAAUGGUUACGAAAUUUCCUGAUAAAAUUGCCUUGAAUGAAGUGCCUCGGGUGAGCUCAUGGCCUAUUCAGUUCCGUGAGUCUGGGACUAAGGAGGAUCAUAUUGCUCUCUACUUUUUUGCUCAAGAUCUCGAGAGCUAUGAAAGGAACUACAGGGGCUUGCUGGAGAAUAUGAUGAAUAGUGACUUGGCUCUUAAGGGAGAUCUGGGCAGUGCUGAACUCCUUAUUUUCCCAUCUAAUCAGCUUCCCGAGAAAUCCCAGCGUUGGAAUAUGUCUUUUUACCUUUGGGGCGUCUUUAAAGGAAGUCGGGCAAAUGUUUUAGACUCUGGACUUGGUGAAGGUGAAGGUUCUAGAAAGAAGCAAAAGACUGAUAAUCACGAAACAAGUGGAUGCAACAGUCCUAGAGAUGCAAGCCCAUCGAGGGAUGGCUUUGCUCAUCAGGUUCAUGAUCUCAAUGAAUGCUCAGCUGUUGCGGAGAAUCUAAGUGGAGACUACGAUAAUGGGGUAGCACUGAAAGGCACGGAAACUGCUGAGAGGUUCUUAUUUCCUGUCAGCUUUCAGGACUCGAAGGAACUAAUGACAGGGAACAUCUCUAUUCCUUGGAAAUCCGCCUCUUCAAUGGACAAUGAGGUCAGAUGUCAUGGUGGUCUUCCUGUUCCGGACCUUGAGCUUGCAUUAGGAGCAGAAACAAAGUCACCUGGUAAGGGAAUAUCCUUUCUGGUUGAACAGAGCAAGCCCUCUUCAUCAGAUAGGGCCGCUCCUGAGCCCAAGGAGAAUGAGGAUGACGAUCCUUCUGCCUCCCUUUCCCUCUCCCUUUCGUUCCCUUUCCCAGACGAAGAACGAAGAAGCAUCAAGCCUUCUUUACCUAAAGAGAAGCUUCUGCAGGAAGGCACCUUGUGAAUACUUGUAAUUUUGCUCCUCCUCCUCAGAGGCCUCAUUUGAUGGAUACUUUAGGACCGACUUCGCGGCGCCCUGUUCUAUCCUGAUGUUUUGGAAUUCGCAAGAGCCUUUACAUGAUGUCGACCGCACCAAUUGGCCUUGAUGAAUCUUGAUUCCCGUCGAAAAGGCAGAACAGAAGGCCUGCCCGGACAACUCAAAAAUGGGACGCCCAUGAUGGAAUUCCCUGGCCUGGUAGCUUUAGCCAGACGUCGGGAUCCAUGUGGGAAUUCAUGGAUGUUCUCCGAGUGCCGAAGGAUCCACUGGGUUCCAUACGAUAUUAUGUGAAUGCCGAAGAAUCCACCGGGUCCCAGUUGGAUUGCUCGAGCCGUCCUUUGGUUCUUGUUAGGGCAAGUGAGAAUGAAGAUUCCUACAGAUGAGGGAAUCACUCAUAAUUUGUUUUAAUAUUAUUGAACUAGAUGGAGAACCGCAUGUUACGCGGGCUAUUAUUAUGAAAUUUGAUAGUAUCCACUGAACGUUAUUUAAUGAUGUUGUUGUUAUCUCGAAAUUCUCAA